GAAAAUCCCCAGCAGGCUCUGUGCUAUCAGCACAGAGCUGCAUGCGGGGCUCGAACCCACAAACCGUGAGAUCAUGACCUGAGCUGAAAUCAAGAGUCAGGCGCUUAACUGAGCCACCCAGGCGCCCCCGAGGUCACAUAUCUUUUAAUGAGAGAGCUGCUAAUGUGGCAAUGCAGCUGAAAGCACUGAAGGACAGCCCCCUCUCCACCCUGAGCUCAGGCCAACUGCCUGAGGGUCCGGGUCAAAGGGCUCUGGUGAGGGCUGAGCUCUCAAAGCAUGUGUGUACAUAUAUGUACAUACAUAUAUGUAUGUAUGAGAGUGUGUAUGUUGCAUGUGGUACAUGUGUAGGGCGAGUGGGUAUAUAUGUGUGUGUGUGUGUGUGUGUGAGUGGGUGUACCUGUGUAUGGGUGUAUCUGUGCGCAUGUGUGGGAAUGGUGUAUGUUGUAUGUGUAUGUGUGUGUGUAGGUUGUGUGUAUAUGUGGUGUGUGCAUGUGCAUGUCCACGUGUGUGUAUGUGCACACACAGGUAUGCACACAGCCUUCUUGAGGGAUCCCGGAGAGUUGGUGGUUAUGCUCUGGGCCCCAGCUGGUGAACAGGCUUGCCAGCCCCUGGAUGUGGGUGCCGAGACAUCUCCCUGUUCCUCGUUCUGGUGAGAGGGUGAGUGACAGUGCCGGGGACAUGGGAGGGGGAAGUCAACCGAUGCAGAACCCAGGCUGGGCUCUCAUCCUGUCAUCGUCCCUCGCCCAGUCGGAGUUCAUGGCAGAGGGAAUCACAGGAGGGUUUCACCGCAAACCAUAACCAGCCUCAGACACCGGGCCAAUCUGCCCAUCUACUGGGAGCAGUUUGCCAGGCCAUCGUUGCUAAGCAGUAGAUACGAAUCCUUCACGUGAGCCCUCCAGCUUCCAGAUUUAUUUGGAGGAUCCCACCCCUCGGCCAGCCCGCCACACAGGGUGGACGGAGUGAGGAGUCAGCAAAGCUGACUCACUUCAGACGUUUUGUAAAGCCCAGAAGUCGAAGCUAUUCCCGCAGGAUGGCUGUUAAGAGGUCUUGAAAAAUCUACGUGGUAGAUGGAAUACACUGGCCACUUCCUACGUGACCGUGGAGGAAGAGGUGAACUCUUACUAAACAGAUCAACGGUUUAAAAACCCAGAGAGACAGACUGGGAAGCAGAGAAGCCAAGAACAUGAGUGUCCAUUCGCUGUCAUGAGCCCCGAAAUCUGAAUGCCAAGGAUUCCUUGGGAUUAGACUCUUUGGCUUUCUUUCUGACGGGCUUAGGCAAGUGCCGUCAGUUCCCUGGCACAUGAGUGUGUUUUCCCCCCAGCAACGGCACCCACGUAAGUUAUUGCACAACUCAGUCAUCCGACAUGGCCUUAAGAAAAGGGAGUGCUGUGUGAAUAGGGGUUAGGAGCUGUUUAAAGGUGACAGCAUACUCCUCUUUCAUAUUAAGUCUUUUAAAUUGCCACAUCAAAUACCUGAAUGACCCAUGACCCUUGUCUGCAUGAUCACACAGAGACAUUUGCAGCCACUUUUGUUGGAAAGGAAAGUGCAUGCCACCUCCUGACCAGACUUCAGACAAGCUGGCCUCUGGCCACUGGUUUUCUUUUGCUCUAAAAACGAUGGGUUCUCUUGAUCUGCAGUGAGACGCCUUUGUACCGAUAACCAUCUGACUGCUCUUCCUUUCUUCUCUCUGCCUUUCAUUCUUUUCUUUCACUUGUGUUGACAGAGAACCUAUGAGUGAUGAAAAAGAAAUCAUGUUUCUGGCAGUCACUGAAGUUCACUCCAUAUUUUCCCCACACUCAUUUCAGCUGUAGGAACUUCACAUUUUGGGAUUCCAUGUAAACGUUACUUACAGGGACGCCUGGGUGGCUCAGUCGGUUAAGCGUCCAACUCUUGAUUUCAGCUCAGGUCGAGAUCUCACGGUUCACAAGAUCGAGCCCUGCAUGGGGCUCUGCGCUGACAGCGAGGAGCCUGCUUAGGAUUCUCUCUCUCUCCUGUCUCUCUGCUCUUUCCCCGUGCUUGUGUGCUCUCUCUCUCUCUCUCCCUUUCAAAAUAAGUGAAUAGACUUAAUAAAAAACCCUUUACUUACAAUAUACAUCAGAGCUACCCAAAAGAACUUUCUGCAAUGAUGGAAAUCAUCUAUAUCCACGCUGUCCAGUACAGUAGCCACUACAGGUGGCCCUUGAGCACCUCAAAUGUGAUUCAUGUGAUAAAGGAACCACAUUUAAAACUUUACUUAAUUUUAAUUGAUUUAAAUUUAAAUAGCUGCAUGUGGCUGCAGGCUAUCCUAGGGAACAGUGCUAUUACAGAGCAUAUAUGUGUCUCCAAGGCUUUCCUCCUCCCCUGCUCCCUCCAAACCCAAGUUUGCUUUUUUUUUUUUUUUUAACUAUAAGUGACCCUGGCAUGCUUCAGCAUCCCUCUCUAGGCUCCUUAACAUGAGAGGAAGUAAGCAAACACUCAGCUUGUUGCCCUACAAUUUCUGCAGCUCUCAGACUCCUUCAUGUGGAGGCUGGGAGGGGGGUUGGGAGAGGCUUACUGAAAUGUCAGUAACAUGGUGAGAAAACGUCCGUUCUCCACCAGACAUUUCCUUUGUUGACACGACAGGUUUUCUCUGUGUCCAUGUGAGGAGAGCAACGGCUCACCCCGAAAUGGAAUGCCCGACGUCUCAGAACUCCUUCAUGCUACUGGGUCACUGCCACUUCUGUCUUCCUCCAAAAUACCACGUACCUAGAGCACGGCACCACUAAGCACGGAUUCUGGUGUGGAUGUGUAAAGAGGUUAUGCCUGGAACGAUGACAGCCUUUUGCGGACCAUUAGAGGAGCUCUCCAAAGGAUAAGCCAGCAUACUAAGGAUGGUAAAAAGAAAAAGAGUCUGUGUUUUUGGUUUUGUUUCACCUUCAUAUUAACCAACUCUGGAAAUAUUCCCCUUUCGAACUUAAUGUUUUAUUAUUAGACUGACUGAUCAGAAAGAAGACUGGGUAAAGGUGAAUCUUCAGAUUCUUGCAGUGCCAGAGAAUAAGGAAGUGCUAAACUGCCACCCCCAAGGGGCUAUGUCAAAGGGACACAGCUGAAAGACCUUCCAAUGGCCCAAACUGGGACCAUUUGAGCAAUAAAAUAAUUGAAAGGUGCUGGAUUAUAACCUGAAGUAUAAAAUAAAUAUCCACAAGUCCAUACUAAUAUAAAAAAGUGAAUAAAUACAUGAAGAAGAAUGGAGGAAUCUCCUGGGCAGAAAAAUUCCAAAUAAUUCAUGUAGAUAUUAUGUCCUCAAAGAAGUGAAGCCUAACUGCCCACUCCCUAAGUGUGGAAUUCCUUUAGGAGGAACCACUUCCUUCUAAAGAGUAAACUAUGGAAACUGGGGAGAAAAGGGUUACUCCACAGCGGAGAAUCUUGACACAUGUGACCUCAGCUGGUGAUCAAGGUCAACAUCAACAGGGGUUAAGUCAUAUUGAUAGAAUGUACCUCUGAUAUCAUGUGGUAAGAAUGGCACUUUAUCUCUCUGGUUUCCCUUCCCCAGACCCAUAAUCCCUUUCUAAUCAUGAGACUAACAUCAGACAAACCCAAAUUUAGGUAUGAUCUAAAAAAUUCUUACUUGGUACUCCGCAAAGCUAUCGAAAUCAUCAAAAACAAAGACAAUCUGAGGAACUGUCAUAGCAAGAGAAGCUCAAGGAGACUUGGUGAUUAACCAGAAUGUGAGAUCCUGAAAGGGAUCCUGGAUAUGAGGUAAAAACAAAGGAAAUUUGAGUAAAGUAUGGAGUUUAGUUAAUAAUAAUGUAUCAAUGUUGGUUUAUAAAUUUUUUUAAGUUUAUUUAUUUUGAGAGAGAGAGAGAGAGAGAGCACAUGUGUGUGUGAGUGGGGGGAGGGGGAGAGAGAGGGAGACGGAAUGAAUCUCAGGCAGGCUCUGCACUGUCCAGUACAGAUCCCGAUGUGGGGCUCAAACUCGCGAACCGUGAGAUCAUGGCCUGAGCCGAAAUCAGAUGCUUAACCCACUGAGCCACCCAGGUGCCCUGAUUCACAAAUUGUGACAAAUUUACCAUACUAAUAUGAGAUGUUAAUAAUAGGGAAAAGCAGGGGAGGUAGAUAGGGAUUCUCAGCGUUAUCUUCACAAAGUUUCUAUAAACCCAAAACUAUUUUAAAAUUCAAAGUUGAUUUUAAAAAAGAGAGCUACCAAUAUUAAGAAUGAGAAAGAUUCUAGUCACUACAGGAUAUUAAAAGGAUAAUAUUAUGAACAACUUUAUGCCAAUUUAUUUGGUAAGUUAGACGAAAAGAACACAAUUGUUAAAGACCCAAGCUACUAAAGUCACCCAGGAAGAAACUUAAUAUAGUGUAGAUAACUUAAGUAGCCCAUGGCUAUUAAGGAAAUUUCAUAUCUAGUUUAAAACUUUUCCACAGAGAAAGCUUCCAGCUCCGUUAGUUUCACUGAGAAAUUCUAUCAAACAUUUAAGGUAAAACUAUGGCCAGUCUCACACUUCUAGCCUUCAUUCCAGAAGGCUAGCAUUACCCUGAUAUCAAAACCAGCAUAAGACAUCAUGUGAAAACUAUACCCCACUAUACUUCAUGCAAAAAUGCUGAGCAAAAUUUUAGCAAACUGAAUUCAACAAUAUGUAAAAGGGAUAAUACAUCAUGAGUAAAUGAGGUUUAUCCCAGGAAGGAAAGCUUGAUUUAACAUUUGAAUGUCAAUCAGUGUAAUCUGUAUUAACAAAAUAACAAUAAACAGAAGAAACUGAGCACUAAUACACAUUAACAGAACAAAAAAGGAAAAACCAUAUGAUCAUCUCAAUGCAGAAAAAGCUUUUGACAAAAUUCAACAUCUAUUCCUGAUAAAACUCCAGCAACUAGAAACAAAAGGGAAUUUUCUUCAACCUGAUAAAGACAUCUAUGAAAACCCACAGCUAGUAUAAUAUUUGCUGGGAAAGAGAAUGCUUCACUCCUAAGAUCAGGAGUGAGACAAAGGUGCUUACCAUGGUAAGCAAGGUUGU
Long non-coding RNA from Acinonyx jubatus (cheetah), 4973 nucleotides. RefSeq lists it as uncharacterized. The record is from RefSeq and is a predicted model, not a curated record. The transcript has 3 exons. Lineage: Eukaryota; Metazoa; Chordata; Mammalia; Carnivora; Felidae.